This 516-nucleotide ribosomal RNA is filed under the name uncultured bacterium. Its description in RNAcentral is "bacterial SSU rRNA". It matches the Rfam family "Bacterial small subunit ribosomal RNA", at positions 355 to 864 of the family's 1533-position model. The record is from RNAcentral.
UAGGGAAUAUUGCGCAAUGGGCGAAAGCCUGACGCAGCAACGCCGCGUGAAGGAUGAAGGCCUUCGGGUCGUAAACUUCUGUCAGAUGGGAAGAAGGUUUGUAGGUUAAGAGCUAGUGAACUUGACGGUACCAUCAGAGGAAGUCCCGGCUAACUCCGUGCCAGCAGCCGCGGUAAUACGGAGGGGACAAGCGUUAUUCGGAUUUAUUGGGCGUAAAGAGCUCGUAGGCGGUUCGGUAAGUCGGGUGUGAAAACUCUGGGCUCAACCCAGAGAGGCCACUCGAUACUGCUGUGACUAGAGUGCGGUAGGGGAGCGGGGAAUUCCUGGUGUAGCGGUGAAAUGCGCAGAUAUCAGGAGGAACACCAGUGGCGAAGGCGCCGCUCUGGGCCGUAACUGACGCUGAGGAGCGAAAGCAUGGGUAGCAAACAGGAUUAGAUACCCUGGUAGUCCACGCCGUAAACGAUGGUGCUAGGUGUUGGGUAGCUUGCUAUUCAGUGCCGAAGCUAACGCGUUAAG